GUGGGGCUGGGGGGCGUGGGGAGUGUCGCGGGCUCCUGACCUGUUGCUGCGGGGACGGAGCUGGCAGUGAGGCGCGUGUAGGCCAGGCCCCAUCCACUCGCGGGACCUCGGUUUAUCUCUGUGCACCAGAGAGGACUAGGUUCAGUGGUGAGGGCGUGGGUCGGAAGAAUCCCAGAGGCAGAGAGAUUCACCUUUGGGACUUAGCGGGCCAAUCAUAUCUUCUCCCUAGGCUUGCUUUGUAGUUAUCGAUUAAACCCUGCCUGCAUUCCAAAAGA
This 275-nucleotide long non-coding RNA is filed under the name Mus musculus (house mouse). RNAcentral's name for it is "predicted gene, 57125". The record is from RNAcentral. Lineage: Eukaryota; Metazoa; Chordata; Mammalia; Rodentia; Muridae.